Molecule: unclassified non-coding RNA, 232 nt
Filed under: Hevea brasiliensis (rubber tree)
Lineage: Eukaryota; Viridiplantae; Streptophyta; Magnoliopsida; Malpighiales; Euphorbiaceae
Source: RNAcentral
UGAGGGAAGUCGGGGGUGGUAGAUAGAUUGCCAGCGUGGAAAUUGGCACUGACGGACGGCUGACGGGUGACUAACGGCCGGUAGUGGCCGUUAACUGACGGCGGUGGACAGAGGCGAAGACGCCGUUAUUGACGGCGUCACUGACGGAAUCUUUGACGGCGUAGACGGACGGUGACGGCUCCGUCAGUUGACGGUCCGUAACGGUCCUUGACGGAGCCGUCACGGAGGGUCG